GACGAACCGUGCGAACGUUAUUCGGAAUCACUGGGCUUAAAGGGUGCGUAGGCGGGUCUUUAAGUCAGGGGUGAAAUCCUGGAGCUCAACUCCAGAACUGCCUUUGAUACUGAGGAUCUUGAGUUCGGGAGAGGUGAGUGGAACUGCGAGUGUAGAGGUGAAAUUCGUAGAUAUUCGCAAGAACACCAGUGGCGAAGGCGGCUCACUGGCCCGAUACUGACGCUGAGGAGCGAAAGCGUGGGUAGCAAACAGG
Molecule: ribosomal RNA, 253 nt
Filed under: uncultured bacterium
Lineage: Bacteria
Description: partial 16S ribosomal RNA
Rfam family: Bacterial small subunit ribosomal RNA
Source: RNAcentral